AGAACGCUCUUCAGGCGGGACUUUGAUGCGCAUACGUGAACUACGUCACCAAUCACGUGAUCGACUUCGACAGACUCGGGCCAAGAUGCAAGGGAGGGGACCUGUGUCACCUUUUAUUGUAACAAAAUAUACAUACGUGAUCGAAAUGAUGACAUAUGCGCGAACCAGAUGAUCUGACAAAGGCUGAUCUCUUCGCUGUCGAUUG
Long non-coding RNA from Wasmannia auropunctata (little fire ant), 205 nucleotides. RefSeq lists it as uncharacterized. The record is from RefSeq and is a predicted model, not a curated record. NCBI's taxonomy places the organism in Eukaryota, Metazoa, Arthropoda, Insecta, Hymenoptera, Formicidae. The transcript has 2 exons.